RNAcentral lists this ribosomal RNA (497 nucleotides) under uncultured bacterium. RNAcentral's name for it is "partial 16S ribosomal RNA". It matches the Rfam family "Bacterial small subunit ribosomal RNA", at positions 28 to 507 of the family's 1533-position model. The record is from RNAcentral.
GAUGAACGCUGGCGGCGUGCCUAAUACAUGCAAGUCGAGCGAACAGACGAGGAGCUUGCUCCUCUGACGUUAGCGGCGGACGGGUGAGUAACACGUGGAUAACCUACCUAUAAGACUGGGAUAACUUCGGGAAACCGGAGCUAAUACCGGAUAACAUGUUGAACCUCAUGGUUCAACAGUGGAAGACGGUCUUGCUUUCACUUAUAGAUGGCUCCGCGCAGCAUUAGCUAGUUGGUAAGGUAACGGCUUACCAAGGCAACGAUGCGUAGCCGACCUGAGAGGGUGAUCGGCCACACUGGAACUGAGACACGGUCCAGACUCCUACGGGAGGCAGCAGUAGGGAAUCUUCCGGAAUGGGCGAAGGCCUGACGGAGCAACGCCGCGCGAGUGAAGAAGGUCUUCGGAUCGUAAAACUCUGUUAUUAGGGAAGAACAAAUGUGUAAGUAACUAUGCACGUCUUGACGGUACCUAAUCAGAAAGCCACGGCUAACUACGUG